UUGAGUUGACAUUAUUCUUCCAUCUGAGCUUAAAAGUACGCAUCACUGGCCAAAUCAGUCAUUAGUGUAGAAUGCGUAGGCUUCCAACCUAAACGUUGCUGCGUAAGAAUACUUGAAGUUGGAUUAUCAACAGACAAAAAGCUGGAAAGAAAUCCAAAAUGUUCGGUGGCUUCUUCAGAAGAUACGGAGAUGACAGGUAUAUCAAGUCGUUUGCCAAUCAUGCCUGCGAUUUCUUUGAUCGGAAUACCUUCUUCGGCAACAGCAUGAUAAAUGGAACCAGCAGUUUCU
Schizosaccharomyces pombe (fission yeast) is the source of this 288-nucleotide non-coding RNA. Lineage: Eukaryota; Fungi; Ascomycota; Schizosaccharomycetes; Schizosaccharomycetales; Schizosaccharomycetaceae. The record is from the annotation of a GenBank genome assembly.